Non-coding RNA from Acanthosepion pharaonis, 95 nucleotides. The record is from the annotation of a GenBank genome assembly. Lineage: Eukaryota; Metazoa; Mollusca; Cephalopoda; Sepiida; Sepiidae.
UUGAAACACAGUUUCCCCAUACGAGCACUGAAGUUAAGCAAUAUUGAGUCUGGUCAGUAGCUAAAUGGGUGACCACUCGGGAAUACCAGGUACUA